AUUGAACGCUGGCGGCAGGCCUAACACAUGCAAGUCGAACGAGUGGCGUCCGGGUGAGUAAUGUCUGGGAAACUGCCUGAUGGAGGGGGAUAACUACUGGAAACGGUAGCUAAUACCGCAUACCAUCAGAUGUGCCCAGAUGGGAUUAGCUAGUUGGUGGGGUAACGGCUCACCAAGGCGACGAUCCCUAGCUGGUCUGAGAGGAUGACAGGCAAAAUUGGAACGUAGACACGGUCCAGACUCCGACGGGAGGCAGCAGUGGGGAAGAUUGCACAAUGGGCGCAAGCCUGAUGCAGCCAGGCCGCGUGUAUGAAGAAGGCCUUCGGGUUGUAAAGUACUUUCAGCGGGGAGGCGUUACCCGCAGAAGAAGCACCGGCUAACUCCGUGCCAGCCGCCGCGGUAAUC
RNAcentral lists this ribosomal RNA (405 nucleotides) under uncultured bacterium. RNAcentral's name for it is "partial 16S ribosomal RNA". It matches the Rfam family "Bacterial small subunit ribosomal RNA", at positions 30 to 525 of the family's 1533-position model. The record is from RNAcentral.